This is a long non-coding RNA of Myotis brandtii (Brandt's bat), 681 nucleotides long. RefSeq lists it as uncharacterized. Lineage: Eukaryota; Metazoa; Chordata; Mammalia; Chiroptera; Vespertilionidae. The record is from RefSeq and is a predicted model, not a curated record. The transcript has 3 exons.
CGCCACAGGGUCUGGGCUGCGAGAGCUUCUGGCGGAGCCAGGCACCUGGCCCCGAGCUCCUGGCCCCCCGCCGCGGACCGCAGCCCACUCCGGGAGGUCUGGAGCGGGGUCAGCGACUCUGAGUGGCUCCAGGAUCUGGGACAGAAGAAAGCAGAUCAGCCCAGGUGAGAGGAGGACAUCGGGACGCCCAGUUCCACCAUGAACUUUGAAGCAGCCAGGUCAGUUUUGAAGUUCAUGGUGACAGGGCAAAAAGAGUACGAGGCCACGUGGAAAGCCGAAGUACACAGGCGGGAUUCCAAGCUGGGAUCCGGCCUGGAUCUGCUUUUCAGGACGCCAUUGCUGCUGACCAGUCUUCUCACCGGGCCUAUGUGUCUGGGGAGCCCCAGGGCAUACAAGCCCAGGGUGAGGUCUGCCUCCUCAAUGAAGCCUGUUCCACCUGCCCAUGCUCCCAGCAAGCUUGUCCUCUGAACCUCUCCAGGGGCUUCUGGAUUUACCCCUCAUCUAGCCUUUAACAUAGACGAGGGUGCAAAGGGACAGGGCAGCAAUCUGUCCUCAGGAUUGGGAAGUAAAACAAAGAUGCAGCUAUAUUGUUGCAAAUAUCAAAUGACAAAAUACUGGUGAGAACUUUCUGAAUAAUCGAAUACCUAAAUGGGGACAUCUAUAAUAGUGUCAACAAUAAAA